AACGAACGCUGGCGGCGCGCCUAAUACAUGCAAGUCGAGCGAGAAGGUGUAGCAAUACACUUGUAAAGCGGCGAACGGGUGAGGAACACAUGGGUAACCUACCCUCGAGUGGGGAAUAACUAGCCGAAAGGUUAGCUAAUACCGCAUACGAUUCCAGCACUUCGGUGCUGGAAGGAAAGCACUACCGUGGGUAGUGCGCUCCUGGAUGGGCUCAUGUCCUAUCAGCUUGUUGGUCAGGUAAUGGCUCACCAAGGCUUCGACGGUAGCUGGUCUGAGAGGACGAUCAGCCACACUGGCACUGCGACACGGGCCAGACUCCUACGGGAGGCAGCAGUAAGGAAUAUUGCGCAAUGGGCGACAGCCUGACGCAGCGACGCCGCGUGGGGAUGAAGGUCUUCGGAUUGUAAACCCCUUUCGGGAGGGAAGAGGGAAUGGGGCAACCCAUUCGGACGGUACCUCCAGAAGCAGCCACGGCUAACUUCGUGCCAGCCGCC
This 494-nucleotide ribosomal RNA is filed under the name uncultured bacterium. RNAcentral describes it as "bacterial SSU rRNA". It matches the Rfam family "Bacterial small subunit ribosomal RNA", at positions 29 to 516 of the family's 1533-position model. The record is from RNAcentral.